RNAcentral lists this long non-coding RNA (815 nucleotides) under Musa acuminata (dwarf banana). Its description in RNAcentral is "long non-coding RNA (MACU_LNC009858)". Lineage: Eukaryota; Viridiplantae; Streptophyta; Magnoliopsida; Zingiberales; Musaceae. The record is from RNAcentral.
CUUACUUGGCGGGUAGCAAUUCGAUUCUUCUUUUCUUUCUAUUUAAAGUAGUGGUCCAAUCGAGUAGACUUUAUUGGCACUGAAGAUUCCUCCGCUAACGGAUAAAGUUGGCUAUGUAGCUUAUCGGCUUAUGACUUUUACUAUCAACUUAGAGUUGUUGGCUUACCACUAUCUACUUAGAGUUGUUGGCUUACCAGAGAUCCGUAUCAGAGGCAAAAGAGAUGGAUCCAAUUCAGAACUUGAAGUAGGGGUUGGGUGUGAGUUCAAAGUGGACAGUUCAGUGGAAUAGAAGUAUCCAGUUUCAAAGUCGUGUUCCAAUAGUGGUCUGGUCCAUACUAUAGCCAUAACAGUAUUAGUAGUGGUGCCAGUUCCAUUAAGUAGCCAGUUCCAUGUAAGUAUUAGUAGUUGCCCGGCCUCAGUAGUUUACUUUUUGAUUGUGCUUAGUUCGGGUGUUGACGAAAGUGAAAGCUAUGCGCUAUUCUUCUACUUCUACUAGAUGCGCUAAGAUCUUUUACAGCAAGAUUCAGUGCUAAGACGGGUUUUAGUAGUUGCUAAGUUUCAAGUCGAGUCGAGUUCCACCUUUUUCAUUGUUUAGUUUACGUUCAUAGGUUAGUCUAUAAUAUCAUUAUUUAAACAACCUGCUAUGACUUGCUUAACAUGAGUUCUUCCUUAAAGUGAGUCUCUAGUCUCAUUAAUUUCAAUGAAGCACAACUAGAAGAGCGUAACGGGACUCCAGUCUCUAGUCUCAUUGAAUGAACAUAAAGGACAACUCAUAUAGAAAAGCGUAAUGGGACUCCUGACUCUAAGGCUCUAAC